CGGCGGACGGGUGAGUAACGCGUGGGUAACCUGCCUCAUACAGGGGGAUAACAGUUAGAAAUGAUUGCUAAUACCGCAUAAGACCACAGCACCGCAUGGUGCGGGGGUAAAAACUCCGGUGGUAUGAGAUGGACCCGCGUCUGAUUAGCUAGUUGGUAAGGUAACGGCUUACCAAGGCGACGAUCAGUAGCCGACCUGAGGGGGUGACCGGCCACAUUGGGACUGAGACACGGCCCAA
This 238-nucleotide ribosomal RNA is filed under the name uncultured bacterium. RNAcentral describes it as "partial 16S ribosomal RNA". It matches the Rfam family "Bacterial small subunit ribosomal RNA", at positions 96 to 334 of the family's 1533-position model. The record is from RNAcentral.